This 542-nucleotide long non-coding RNA is filed under the name Carica papaya (papaya). Its description in RNAcentral is "long non-coding RNA (CPAP_LNC002712)". The record is from RNAcentral. Lineage: Eukaryota; Viridiplantae; Streptophyta; Magnoliopsida; Brassicales; Caricaceae.
AAUAUCAUAAUAACUAACAAAUUAGGAGUUAAUGGUGACUCCCAUCAUCCAUACGUUGAGUUAAGGAAGAAGAGUCUGGGGUUGUCCAUUGUUUUCACAAACACCAUCAAUUUAUAUCUUAUGUUCCUCCCCAUCAUUCCUUCUGUUGUUACAUUUUUCAUUGAUCAUGACGCCUUUAUUUGAAUGUUGAGGCAUCAUCUUGAAAAACUCCUUUGGCAUCUCGCUUUUUGAUCCAUCUCUUGGCUUGUACAUUUAGUUGUAUUUCUCCACAUUUCUAUUUUCCUCCUGAACAAUACCAAUUUUAGUACUUGUAACAUUAUCGUAUGUCAACUUAAAUAUUUAUUAAACACUACUCAGCCAAUCAUAUUUCAAAAUUUCAUAUGGUUGAGGUAAUGAUUUUUGCUGAAAAGAUUUCAUCACCUAUACAAACAACAAAUAAAUUUUAUUCAAGUAUAUAAUUUGUAAUUAGAAAUUUCUUAUUAAUUACCUCAUCAAAGGAAUUAAUCUCCUCUUCCACCCUACCUCCCUUUUCCUCCAUGAUG